This 497-nucleotide ribosomal RNA is filed under the name uncultured bacterium. Its description in RNAcentral is "partial 16S ribosomal RNA". It matches the Rfam family "Bacterial small subunit ribosomal RNA", at positions 28 to 507 of the family's 1533-position model. The record is from RNAcentral.
GAUGAACGCUGGCGGCGUGCCUAAUACAUGCAAGUCGAGCGAACAGACGAGGAGCUUGCUUCUCUGACGUUAGCGGCGGACGGGUGAGUAACACGUGGAUAACCUACCUAUAAGACUGGGAUAACUUCGGGAAACCGGAGCUAAUACCGGAUAAUAUAUUGAACCGCAUGGUUCCAUAGUGAAAGACGGUUUUGCUGUCACUUAUAGAUGGAUCGCCGCCGCAUUAGCUAGUUGGUAAGAAAACGGUUUACCAAGGAAACGAUGCAUAGCCGACCGGCGAGGUGAACCGCCAACACUGGAACGGGGACACGGUCCAGACUCCUACGGGAGGCAGCAGUAGGGAAUCUUCCGCAAGGGGCGAAAGCCUGACGGAGCAACGCCGCGUGAGUGAUGAAGGUCUUCGGAUCUUAAAACUCUGUUAUUAGGGAAGAACAGAUGUGUAAGUAACUGUGCACAUCUUGACGGUACCUAAUCAGAAAGCCACGGCUAACUACGUG